AUUAUAAUGAGCGAUGGAGUUCGCUCGAAUCCUGGUUAACCAGGUGAUGACUCCUACCAUAGU
RNAcentral lists this non-coding RNA (63 nucleotides) under Sporomusa sphaeroides. RNAcentral's name for it is "Sporomusa sp. Fluoride sequence". It matches the Rfam family "Fluoride riboswitch aptamer (crcB RNA motif)". Lineage: Bacteria; Bacillati; Bacillota; Negativicutes; Selenomonadales; Sporomusaceae. The record is from RNAcentral. RNAcentral also lists the same sequence under 1 other name.